UACGUAGGGUGCAAGCGUUGUCCGGAAUUAUUGGGCGUAAAGAGCUUGUAGGCGGUUUGUCGCGUCUGCUGUGAAAUUUCGGGGCUCAACCCCGAACUUGCAGUGGGUACGGGCAGACUAGAGUGUGGUAGGGGAGACUGGAAUUCCUGGUGUAGCGGUGAAAUGCGUAGAUAUCUGGAGGAACACCGGUGGCGAAGGCGGCGUCCUGGACCAAUACUGACACUGAGGAGCGAAAGCCAGGGGAGCAAACGGG
This 253-nucleotide ribosomal RNA is filed under the name uncultured bacterium. RNAcentral describes it as "partial 16S ribosomal RNA". It matches the Rfam family "Bacterial small subunit ribosomal RNA", at positions 524 to 776 of the family's 1533-position model. The record is from RNAcentral.